AUGCGGUGCGCGCGGGCGGCCGCGGCGGUUGCGGUUUCAGGGGGAGGAGGCGAUGCUGGGACGGGGAUCACCGCCGCGGCGGCGGCCACCGUGGCGCUCGCGGUGAUGAACCGGGUGCUGUACAAGCUUGCGCUCGUGCCCAUGAAGAAUUACCCCUUCUUCCUCGCGCAAGUUCUCACGUUUGGGUAUGUUGUAGUGUACUUCUCUAUUCUCUUCGUAAGAUAUCAGGCCGGUAUUGUCACUAAAGAAAUGCUAGCGCUUCCAAAAUCGCGCUUCAUGUUAAUUGGACUGCUAGAAGCAAUGGGUGUUGCUUCAGGCAUGGCUGCUGCAGCUAUGUUGCCUGGGCCAUCUAUUCCAGUGCUGUCUCAGUCUUUUCUGGUAUGGCAGCUUAUUUUGUCAGUCAUCGUUUUGGGAAGGAAAUAUAGGGCAAACCAAAUUCUUGGAUGCUUGCUUGUUACAACUGGAGUAAUUCUAUCAGUAGUAAGUGGAGCAAACGGUGGUUCAUCUCUGUCUGAUGUCAAGUUUUUUUGGCCAGCAGUUUUGAUGGCUUCAUCUGCAUGUCAGGCUGGUGCAUCUAUAAUCAAGGAAUUUGUUUUCAUUGAUGGUGCAAAACGCCUUGAGGGAAAGCGGCCUGACAUAUUUGUGGUCAACUCUUUUGGGUCAGGAUUCCAGGCUCUUUUUGUUUUGCUACUCCUGCCGUUUCUCUCUAAUUUGAAAGGCAUUCCGUUGACUGAGCUCCCUGCAUAUGUAAACCGUGGUGCUGCAUGCUUUCUGAAUGUUGGUGGUGGUAAUCUGAACGAUUGUCCUGGAGCCCCUUUGCUACCACUGCUCUUCAUAACUAUGAACAUGGCCUUCAACAUUUCUGUGCUAAAUCUGGUGAAGAUGUCUACAGCACUGGUUGCUUCGCUAACAGCAACACUAGCAGUACCUCUUUCGAUAUACGUUCUGUCACUUCCUCUUCCAUACAUGCCUGGAGGAACAAGUUUAAGCACAUCCUUUUUGGUUGGCGCUGCUGUCUUGGUGCUUGGGUUGCUCCUAUACAACCUUCCUCAGAACUCAGCUGAUCAAGUGAAGACAGAGUGA
RNAcentral lists this ribosomal RNA (1083 nucleotides) under Triticum aestivum (bread wheat). RNAcentral describes it as "partial small subunit ribosomal RNA". The record is from RNAcentral. Lineage: Eukaryota; Viridiplantae; Streptophyta; Magnoliopsida; Poales; Poaceae.